This 592-nucleotide long non-coding RNA is filed under the name Brachypodium distachyon (stiff brome). RNAcentral's name for it is "long non-coding RNA (BDIS_LNC004246)". The record is from RNAcentral. Lineage: Eukaryota; Viridiplantae; Streptophyta; Magnoliopsida; Poales; Poaceae.
AUGGGCCUCUUUGGCUCUUUGGUUCAGAUAAAAUUCGUAAAAACAUUGGAAGAUUAUAUUCCUUAGAUUUUUUUUUCUAUAGAACUAAUUUUAAUUUGCAUGAUUCGGAACCACGUUUUUUUUUUCUUAUGCAUCAUUUUGCAUGAAAUUUUGAAGUAUAAUUUGUUAGAAUUUUGGCUAAUACGGCGCACACGCACGCACGCACGCACUCUUCUUCCUCCGUCGCACCCAGGCCAGAGCGGGUUUUCGAAUAGAACAAAAAUCAUAUUUGGAGUCAUCAUACCUAGAGUCCUCUCGCCCUCAACACCCUAUAUUGGUCGCAUAACUAUAUCUUCACAAGAUCGACGAGAGGCAUGCCCCUAGACAUAUCAUCGACAGUUCCUAUGACAACUAUGACAAGGACCAAAUCCUUAAGGGAGUUCCUAUGUGCAACCAAACAACUCCAUUUUCCUGAUUUGUCAUGACACGACAUCAGAAUUUUUAUGUUUUUUGCUAUCCGUGCAUUUUUUUUUGCAAUCACUCCAAUCAAGGACGCCCCAACUUCAAAGAGAUAGAAUCUUCAUUAGGAGGUCAUUUUUUUUGGUAUAUCAUC